GCUGGGCAAUGCCAUGCCUAUAGCCCAGCUACUUGGGAGGCUGAGGCAGUAGGAUUGCUUGAGGCCAGGAGUUCUGGGCUAUAGUGCACGAUGCUGAUUGGGUGUCUACACUAAGUUUGGCAUAAAUAUGGUGACCUCCUGGGACCAGGGAACCACAGGUGCUACAGAGGGGUGAGCUGCCCCAGGUUGGAAACAAAGCAAAUCUGUAGAACUCCCAUACUGAUCAGUAGUGGGAUUGAGCCUGUGGAAAACCCUGCACUCCUGCCUGGGCAACAUAAUGAAGCCUUGUCUCU
This 293-nucleotide signal recognition particle RNA is filed under the name Macaca nemestrina (pig-tailed macaque). RNAcentral's name for it is "Metazoan signal recognition particle RNA (ENSMNEG00000016571.1)". It matches the Rfam family "Metazoan signal recognition particle RNA". Rfam says of the family: The signal recognition particle (SRP) is a universally conserved ribonucleoprotein. It is involved in the co-translational targeting of proteins to membranes. The record is from RNAcentral. Lineage: Eukaryota; Metazoa; Chordata; Mammalia; Primates; Cercopithecidae.